Molecule: RNA transcript, 4701 nt
Organism: Apis cerana (Asiatic honeybee)
Lineage: Eukaryota; Metazoa; Arthropoda; Insecta; Hymenoptera; Apidae
Source: RefSeq, a predicted model, not a curated record
GAGACUGACCCAGAACAGGUUUACUUUCUUUAUGUCUCCUUCGCAUCUUUUUUUUCUUUCUUUCCCUUUUCCAAUGUCCAAGUCGGAUCGACCUCCAGUCGUCCAGUUUGUGUCCAUCUUUCUUGGCCCGCUAUCCCGCACUGGAAACUGGUUUUCUUUCCCACAUAUCCAUCGAGGCCUCGCCGGUCACUUAGGGGGAAACAGGAAGAGUGGGGCACGAGGACUGACCAGUUCCCGGAUGCGUCCCCGUCCUUUGGUCAGUUUACCAUUUUAUCCCGUGAUCGACAGUGCGGUCGCCUCGGAUUCUUCGAGUUUCUUUUUCUCUUUUCUCCCUCUCUCUCUCUCUCUUUCUUCUCUUCGUCGAAAAAUCGAGGAAGAGAAUCGAGGUGUAAAUGGACUAGCCAUCGUUUCUUUUUUCUCCUUUUUCCCUCUCUUUCCUGUUUUUCUUUUUUUGUUUCGAGAAGCACACGAGGCAUUUUUAUCUCCCGCUCGUUCCUUCUCUGACUUCUUUCUCGUUCCGAAGCAACGGAGUAUCGCGCGAUGCAGUAAUCGCGACAGAGUUUUCCCUCGGAGACUUUUCGACGAGCAGAAUUUCAGAACGUACGUACGCGUGACGCGUGAAGGAACAACACGGUCGGAAACAACGCGGCGCGGUGAGUUGUCGCGGCAGUCGGCAGUCGGCGAUAAAAAUAAACGCGUAACACAACGUAACAAACGGUUGGCGGAUGGAACGACGUAUUCAUCCCCCACCAACCGGGGCUGCUUCGCCCCCAUUUCGUUUCGUGCCACGCCGUAAGAAACCGAGCGUUCUCCUAUCGCCUUCCCUCGUGUGUUUUUAGCCUCCUAAAUAAUUCCCCGUUAAAGCUUCGUUAAAUCUUUGACGACCCCGAAGAAACAUUGCUCGCCUUUUCCCCGUGAUUUGUUUUAUUCGAGUCGUCGAGCUAUUCGUCCGGCCAAUACCUUUUCGACCUUCUCGAACGUCGGCGGAUGCACCGAUGACCUUUCCGUCAUCCGGACGAAAGGAAUCCUUGGGCGACCUUGGAUGCCGUCCGAACAACAACGGCGAAACUUGGAGACAAUGUCUGCCGAAAGGGGGAGAUGAACUUGCGAUUCUCGAAAGGGAAGAGAGAGAGAUUUAAUUUCGCGAUCACGCGUGGCAGGCAACGGGACGUUGGUCCCGUCAAUUCGUUCGUUUUAUUCGGAGAAGAAGGAGCGAAGGUAUCAACGCGUGGUAAUUAAACGAUACUUCAAGUGUCACGUUUCCUUUAUCCUUUAGGGAGGGACGGAUCGAACGCCGCCAAAACCGAACGAAGGCGUCCCCUAAAAUCGUGGAUCGUGAGACGGAGUCCGAGAGAGAAAGAGAGAGAGAGAGAGAGGAUCGAUUCUCGAUCGCGGAGGCACGUCGAUCAUCCUCGAUCCGGGGUGGAGAAGGAGGAGGGGAAGGAGGAGAAGGACGAUACAGAGAGAAGGAAACAAGAGGAAGUAAGAGAUGGUUUGAAUAAUGACUCGGUUGGCACGUGAGGGUAUGGGGUUUGCCGGUCGGGCGCGCCAUCUUGCCUCGGCUCUCUACUUAUAAUUAUUGAUGUGGCCCGAACUUUAUAUAAACUCGAAACUCGUCUCCCUCGCACCGUCGGUUCGCCACCACCACCGCCACGACUACCACCACGACGAGCCAGCACCACCAGCAUCAGCACAGCACAGCACACGGAACCAUCUCCACGUACAGCGGGGUAGAACCACCCCCCUGAGCCCCGGCCAUCCCCUUCCUCCCCUGCCUCCUCCUCUUUCGGCUCUCCAACCAGGCGGCAGGAGGAAAUUGUUGGAGUUUUCAAAGUCUGACGUGCAGGAUAUUAUGAACGAGGGUAUGGCGUCGUCGAGGAGGUGGAGAAGGUGGUGGAGUAGUAACUGGGGGAGGGUGAGGGGGAGGGCGGCUCGGGAAGGGUGGCGGGAUGCGCAGGGGUGGCUGGCGAGGUGGAGUGGAGGUACCCAGGCAAAACUACCCGCCUCGGCUCACUCUUCUGCCUCCAGAGCCACCCACCAGCCCAUUCGUCUAGCUUAAACUAUAUUCCGACCUAACCUCCGCGUAGGUACCUUCCUUCUACCCAACCCUCUCUCGCUCUCUCUCUCUCUCUCUCUCUACCCACCGACUACCAUCUGACAGCCGGCCAAUACUUGCCGGAUGCGCCGAUACCCUCCGUUGCUUUUCUCGCGUCAUUUACUUACUACUAACCCCCACCCCCCUUCUGAUUUUUCUCUUGCUCGAUCGCCGCGCAACCUUUCACCCAUCUUUCGCUCCUCCGUUCGAUUCUCUUCGAGAAUUUCGAAUUUCCAGGGACGAAGCGUCGACGUGUUCCGGGGAAAUUCUUGGAAAUUGGGGAUGCGGGCACGAAUGAACGAGAAGAAAAAUUUCGUUUUGGAGGAUGAUCGGCCACGCGGCGGUAACACGCGACUUGAGGAGGUUGGAAUAUAGCCGGAGCACGUGCACGAGUAUAUUGUAAGGGGUGAGAGGUGGUAGACUACUUUGACCACAGGAUGCGAGUCGAUCUUCGAUAAUUUUGCUCGACUGUAGCGUUUCCUCGCAGAUGACCGAGAGGAGAGCUGCUGCAGCGACCCUUCUUUCCUUUUCAUCGACGGGCCAUCGAUGCUUCCAAGAGGAAUAUUUAGAAUAUUCUCCCUCUAACGAUCCCUCCCUUCCCCCUCCGAACGAAACGAGAAUCGUUUUCCUCGGCAAAGAAAGGCGAGGGGCGGGGGACAAGAUUGGAAAUUGGAGGAUGGAGGAGGGGGGGAAAAAGGGAGGGAAAAACGUCGGGGAAGAAACGUGGAAAUGUUGCGCGGGACUGCAAACUUGUGUGGCAGACGAGAGGCGGCGGACGAUAUAUUCCACGAAGCCUAGUUAAUCCUAUCUUUCGGAUCUGAAUUCGAGGUUUCUGUUAUACAGCGCGGUUGGCUCGGUCCGCGCGAUCAAAGUGAAUUAAAUCGCGGAGGGCGCUCGCUGUGCUACGCGAUUCUCCGCUUCUCUCUCUCUCCUUCUCCCUUGUCACCCUCGAAAAAUAUUCCAGGGGUGGGAAACGUAGCCUCGUUACGGCCGAUUGAAGUUUCCACGCCGGCCUAUUUUAUACCAUCCCCCUCCCCCUUUCUGUAUCAAAUUUAUUCUCCUUAGAAGGGACGAGCAUUUCUUACGUUUUCAGAGACGGAUAAAAAAAUGGGAUGGAAAUAAAGGGGAUUUAAGGGGCGAGCGAAAGGGAAAUCGAGCGAUUCAGGAUCGUGCAAUCACGAACGCUCCUCCUCCCUCGAGGGACACGUUCGACGAAAGGCGCUGGAGACUCGGCCGGCUACGGCUAUUUUUCACAAUCAGCGAAAUGGCGAAGUGGAGUUGGAUGGAGAACAAACACGAGAAAUCGGUGCGCGCGAGCGAUUCGCGAGCUAGGCGGGAACGAAAUGGGGAGACGUGGAAUAUAAUCUAUCCUGUUUGAGGAGAACUGGCACCGACUGCAAGUUAGAACAAACUCCCAAUGUACUCUGGGAACGUCGUAGCCGGCAACCAAUCCACCGACGUACCACCACCCCCUGGUCGCUCUCUCGUCGUUCCCUCUUCGUCUGCCGCAAGCAUCCCCGAAAUUGGAUAAAAUAACAUCCAAUCCGCGGUCUAUCCGGAAAUGGAGAUGCAGGCUCGACUUUAUCCCUGCCUCCCUGAAAAAUUCGAGGAAAAUAAACCGUUAUCUUAUUUAUUUCUUUCUUUGUUUGUUUAUUCUUUUCUCUCUCUCUCUCUAAGGAAGGGCGCUUAGUUAAUAAAACGGAUUACGAUUAUCUUUGUACGAUCUGGGGAAACGUUACGCUAAAAUGUUGAAGCUUUUAGGAGUGAAAAGAUGAAUUUACGUUGGCGGUGUAAAGUUGGAUCUCGCCGUUUCGUUAUAAAGUUUGUGAAAAUAAUACUUGUGAUCUUUCGGGCGAAGGAGAGGAGCGGCGGAAAAGAGGUUUUUAACCGAGGGAUUCAGGGGUCGGUCGGAAACGUUUUGAUUCCCGGGGAAACAUUAAAUCCCGCGAUAAGAAGGGCACGGGUUAACAGGGCUGCGGGGCUGCGGCUCGCGAUAGCCGUGGAAAUGAAAGGAAUUCGUCCGUUCGAAUAGUUUAAAACUUGCGCAAACUUGUCAGAUUUCCAACUUGCGUUAUUAUAUUUCGGAGGAACGAACGAAUCAACCAACUUUUGUAUUAAUAUAAAUCUCGCCCCCUCCCCUCCCCUCCACGUCUAGACCAUCGACGACCUCACUUUCUCCUCCUUGCUUGCGAUUCUCCCGUUCACGAUAAUUAGAUAAAGGCGAUAUCCUGCGACAGUAAAUAGGGAACGGGAUCGCUAUAAUUAGUCUAAACGCGUCCCGAGUUUGAGUAUUUCCAGAGUGGAACCAGCUCCCGGAAUUUCACACCGAUCGACGUUCGUCUAUUAAUUCGAUCAUCCAACUUUCUCCUUCUCCCUCCCCCCCUCCCUCUGUGUGAACAGUGCUCGCUAAGAUUCCAAGGUUCUUCCAAGAUUGGACGCGUUUCGCCAUGCGUGAGAAAUUUUUUUUCCUUUUUGUCCUCUGCACAAUUUGAAAAAUUGUAAAAAAUUAUAAAAUUAUCUGUAAAAUUAUUGCGUAUACUCGAAACGAGAUAAAUAGAGAGGGAGAGAGAUAAACAAAUAGAAAAAAAAUAAAAAGGUUUGAUUGA